CAAUAGCGUAUAUUUAAGUUGUUGCAGUUAAAAAGCUCGUAGUUGGAUUUCGGAUGGGACUUGCCGGUCCGUCGUUUCGAUGUGCACUGGCCAGUCCUAUCUUGUUGUCGGGGACUAGCUCCUGGGCUUCACUGUCCGGGACUAGGAGCUGACGAGGUUACUUUGAGUAAAUUAGAGUGUUCAAAGCAAGCCUACGCUCUGAAUACAUUAGCAUGGAAUAACACGAUAGGACUCUGGCUUAUCUUGUUGGUCUGUGAGACCAGAGUAAUGAUUAAGAGGGACAGUCGGGGGCAUUCGUAUUUCAUUGUCAGAGGUGAAAUUCUUGAAUUUAUGAAAGACGAACUUCUGCGAAAGCAUUUGUCAAGGAUGUUUUCAUUA
RNAcentral lists this ribosomal RNA (378 nucleotides) under uncultured eukaryote. RNAcentral's name for it is "partial 18S ribosomal RNA". It matches the Rfam family "Eukaryotic small subunit ribosomal RNA", at positions 592 to 975 of the family's 1831-position model. The record is from RNAcentral.